UGUCCAAUAGUUAAUAGUAGCUUCUUUUUUUUUUUCAAUUUAAGGCUAAACCCAGGGUUUAAAGUCUAAAUUGAACCAUACAAGGCUAAACCCAAGGCUAAGGGCUAAAUUGAACCUGCGAUUUCUCAAAUCCGUACCUCAAAGAGAACUAAGAAUCCUCACCUGCAAGGAAAGUGACCUCUCUACAAAUGGGCUCCGAAGAUUUAGAAGGAAAAGAAAUUUGGCGUUUGAAGGAGACAGGGAAAGUGAGAGAACGCUGCUCGAAGAACAUUAAUAUAGUGUUCAGGAAUAUUUGUGAGGCUUUUGCAGACUCUAGGGAACAUUGGUAUUUGAGAUGUUGAAUGUGGAGUGGUCUUCAGCUCACACCCAUAUAUGCAUACACUUAUGCUAAUGUUGUAUAAAACGUUUAGCAGCACAUGUCUCAGGGUUUAUAAAUUAUACAAUAUAUUUUUCGAUGGGUUAUUUCCUACGCUAGCAGAAAAACAACAGCAGUUGCCUUUCGUAUUUGUUUAAUGUACUCUUGCAGCAUAUAUUAUGGUUACUUUCCUUUCAUUAUUGAUUUAUGGACUGUUAAUGCAAAGAAUCUCAUGUAUGAUUCGUCUAAUUAGAGAGACUUAUUUUUCUCCGUUUGAUGUGUGAG
Long non-coding RNA from Lycium barbarum (goji berry), 640 nucleotides. RefSeq lists it as uncharacterized. NCBI's taxonomy places the organism in Eukaryota, Viridiplantae, Streptophyta, Magnoliopsida, Solanales, Solanaceae. The record is from RefSeq and is a predicted model, not a curated record. The transcript is spliced from 3 exons.